GAUAAACGCUGGCGGCGUGCCUAAUACAUGCAAGUCGAGCGAACAGACGAGGAGCUUGCUCCUUUGACGUUAGCGGCGGACGGGUGAGUAACACGUGGGUAACCUACCUAUAAGACUGGGAUAACUUCGGGAAACCGGAGCUAAUACCGGAUAAUAUUUCGAACCGCAUGGUUCGAUAGUGAAAGAUGGCUUUGCUAUCACUUAUAGAUGGACCUGCGCCGUAUUAGCUAGUUGGUAAGGUAACGGCUUACCAAGGCAACGAUACGUAGCCGACCUGAGAGGGUGAUCGGCCACACUGGAACUGAGACACGGUCCAGACUCCUACGGGAGGCAGCAGUAGGGAAUCUUCCGCAAUGGGCGAAAGCCUGACGGAGCAACGCCGCGUGAGUGAUGAAGGUCUUCGGAUCGUAAAACUCUGUUAUUAGGGAAGAACAAACGUGUAAGUAACUGUGCACGUCUUGACGGUACCUAAUCAGAAAGCCACGGCUAACUACGUG
This 497-nucleotide ribosomal RNA is filed under the name uncultured bacterium. Its description in RNAcentral is "partial 16S ribosomal RNA". It matches the Rfam family "Bacterial small subunit ribosomal RNA", at positions 28 to 507 of the family's 1533-position model. The record is from RNAcentral.